GGUUGUGGCUUCCCCUGCUGUAUAUAGAAGACUCUCUCUCACAGCAGGCAUCAUGGUCCUCUGGCUCUUUAAAUAUUUCCACUUCCCUGACCCUGUAUAAGGAUAUGCCGUAGAUGUGUCCGUAGGUAGUGCGCGCCCUAAAGUCUUUUUCUCUGCAUUUGACCAGCUCUGGAUCUCCGUAAUAGUCUCCAUCUGCUGCAAAAUGAGGAUUAUUUGAUGAGGUGUGAGAGAUCCACGGUCAGGCCUCAAUGAUAUGUUCAACUCUUGGGCCAAAGGCGUUCCUCCCAGGACGUCCAGAUUAUCCUGUUGUGUAUUUCUUCUCCGGUGGCCUGACGAGGUGCUCCUUGCCUUCGGUGAAUACAGAAGGCCACCAAAGGAGGGAGAAUCUAAGCAACACAGCCAUGUCUGAAGCCUGAAGGUCUCGGCAAACUCGCUGACGUGCCAGGCUGCUGGGCAGUCACCAUGCAUCCCUCUGGUUCCAUAAUUACACCUCCUUAUGCUGGUCCUUAAAUCCAAGCAGGCCCAUGCCAUCCCCCAUGAUGUGCACACAACCAUUAGUAACCUUCACCAGAGUCACUACUCAAAAACCCCGGCUCUCAUCAAGUUGGAAGUGACCUAUUCUAACCUUUCGCCUUCUUAUUUCACCCCGUUUUUUUUUUCCUUUUACGUCAUCCCCGAAGGAGAGGGUGAAUGCAUGUUUUGGAUCACC
This is a long non-coding RNA of Rattus norvegicus (Norway rat), 709 nucleotides long. RefSeq lists it as uncharacterized. Lineage: Eukaryota; Metazoa; Chordata; Mammalia; Rodentia; Muridae. The record is from RefSeq and is a predicted model, not a curated record.